RNAcentral lists this long non-coding RNA (936 nucleotides) under Numida meleagris (helmeted guineafowl). RNAcentral describes it as "lncRNA (ENSNMEG00000013210.1)". Lineage: Eukaryota; Metazoa; Chordata; Aves; Galliformes; Numididae. The record is from RNAcentral.
CUUCACAUCUCUGGACAUAAAUAUUCUGACUUGCAGCUGGGAAACUUCCUUCCAAAUUGUUCCGUUUGUCAGGUUCAAGUACAAAUUUUCAGCUAAAAACCUUCUCUCCUUGGCUCUUAAUGGGUGCUGGCCAACAAACAAAAAAGAGGAAAAGGGAGUGAAUUACAUGACCUGUCUCUUUUUGUUUAUUAAGAACUUCUUUCCAGCGUCUGAUUCUUACGGAAAUAUGGUUUCAAUUUUCUCUUUGAAUUGUGGAUCAAGAAAUGUUGCCAAUACAUAUUUUUCCCUGUCAAAAUUUCAUUUAAUCUGGAGUCUGUGGACGUCUUGAGAGCCACGUCUCCUCGCGGGGUUAUUACCGUGUGUGCCUGUUGUCAUGUUAGCUCUAAAUUGGAAUCACAUUUGUUCCGGAAAGCGGCGCUGGCUCCGCAGUGCAGCGCAGGGCCGUGGUUGGCAGCAGCGUUGCCCGUGCCCAUGGGACGCCCAGGCUGCGUGGCACAGCUCUGCGGGACGGGACCUGCAUGGCCACUUGGGCACCGGCAGCAGAGCAGUGGGGAGCAGAAGGGCACGUGGCUGUGACAUCGACCUGUGAUGCAGUGUGGGACAAGAGGUCAUCGGGCAACAGGCCCUUGGGGUGUGCUUGGGGACAGCUCGCGACAGCUCUUCAUGCGUCUGUCUCUGUGGAUGCGUGUCUUCAAAAGCUUGAUGGGCAGAACAUAAAGAGGAAGCUCAAUACAGCCACGACUCAGUUACACACUGGCCUCGUGUUUUUCGUUCAUGUUUUGUGCUUGAAACCAUCUGUGGUUACGCGGAGCUUCCAGAUGAGUGCCCGCAGUCAGGGCUGGGGCAGCGCUCUGCUUCCUGCGCCCGGCGUGGCCCCAUGUGGGCAGUGCAGCAGGGAUGGGUGGCGGUGCAGCCCAGCCUGGACGUGGCUGAUGC